Salvia splendens (bonfire salvia) is the source of this 435-nucleotide long non-coding RNA. RefSeq lists it as uncharacterized. Lineage: Eukaryota; Viridiplantae; Streptophyta; Magnoliopsida; Lamiales; Lamiaceae. The transcript is spliced from 3 exons. The record is from RefSeq and is a predicted model, not a curated record.
UCUGUGUUGCCGAGAAAAGAGAAGGGAUGAAAGAGGAGGCCGGAGGCUUCAACUCGCGAUGUUGGCGGCGAGGGUGAUGUGUUUUGCGGGCGACAAUCAGCGAAGGAGAAGAGAGAUGGGACGACAGCCGUGAAUUCGUCGGAGACGGCAUGACAUCGUUGCCGGAAGAGGAGAAAAAGAUGAGCACUGCGUGAAGGCGUGAAGUGAGAUGCUAGACUUUGUUGAGUUCUGAUUUUGAGAGCUUCAAAUCCAAAUUUCACGUAAGGAGUUGGAAUUGAUUUGGGUUGAGAUAAAUUAAUUGAAUGGAAGAUUGGGCCGGAGUACUCUAAAUCAAUGGGUGACUUCAAGCACGCUUUUCGAGGACGGAAUGAAACACAAGUUAAAGCUUUAAAUGAACGAGGUUGAGCGUGACGGGUGCGGUGGGUGUUGAGCAAG